AGAGUUGAUUAGGCUCAGGAUGAACGCUAGCGACAGGCUUAACACAUGCAAGUCGAGGGGCAGCAUAAAAGUAGCAAUACUUGGUGGCGACCGGCGCACGGGUGAGUAACGCGUAUGCAACCUACCUAUCAGAGGGGAAUAACCCGGCGAAAGUCGGACUAAUACCGCAUAAAACAGGGGCACCGCAUGGUGAUAUUUGUUAAAGAAAUUCGCUGAUAGAUGGGCAUGCGUUCCAUUAGGUAGUUGGUGAGGUAACGGCUCACCAAGCCGACGAUGGAUAGGGGAACUGAGAGGUUGGUCCCCCACACUGGUACUGAGACACGGACCAGACUCCUACGGGAGGCAGCAGUGAGGAAUAUUGGUCAAUGGGCGAGAGCCUGAACCAGCCAAGUCGCGUGAAGGAAGAAGGAUCUAUGGUUCGUAAACUUCUUUUGCAGGGGAAUAAAGUGCAGGACGUGUCCUGUUUUGUAUGUACCCUGAGAAUAAGGAUCGGCUAACUCCGUGCCAGCAGCGGC
This 515-nucleotide ribosomal RNA is filed under the name uncultured bacterium. Its description in RNAcentral is "bacterial SSU rRNA". It matches the Rfam family "Bacterial small subunit ribosomal RNA", at positions 8 to 518 of the family's 1533-position model. The record is from RNAcentral.